Long non-coding RNA from Photinus pyralis (common eastern firefly), 1222 nucleotides. RefSeq lists it as uncharacterized. The record is from RefSeq and is a predicted model, not a curated record. NCBI's taxonomy places the organism in Eukaryota, Metazoa, Arthropoda, Insecta, Coleoptera, Lampyridae. The transcript is spliced from 2 exons.
CCAGUAAGUAUCGAAUCAUGCUUCCGCGAUGUGUUGGUAGCUUGCUCGGAUUGCACUAGAUCCUUAAGGUGCAAGAUGUGAAGGUGGUUUGAGUGCAUCAAUACAAAAGACACCUGACGUCACCUAGCACCCCAAAAUGUGUCACCGCUUCUGAUCGAAAUGCUUCUUACUACCAGUGCAAAAGACGGAAAUGGGGAUACUCCGUUUCACAUUGCAGCUCUUACUGCAUUUUCUUUCAAAAUAUUCAAGGUGUACCACUUGUGCAUUUUUUUUCGAAUAGAUAGGUACUUCCACAACUCGAUGCUCAUUGGUUCACUACUUUGUAUUAAUGGACAAGUUAGGAAUAGUGCCAGCUUUAUUCGGAACACACAGUAUGAUUUGCAAAUAGAAAUAGAACAGGAUGUACAUACCUCCUGCAUAAACUUCGCACUUGCAGGUGUCACCUCUGAUGGUUUGAUAAUCACGCAAUUACCGGCCGCAAUCGCACCCGCCAACGGCAAUAACGUAAGCAGUAGGGGAUAAUUCCAGGCACCGAUUACUAGGACAACACCGUACGGCUCGUUAAACAGGUACGUUUUGUCCAACCAGUUUGCGAAGGAUCUGGGAGGACGUUCCGGCUUCACCCAUUCGUGCAAGCUGUCGAUUGUGUUCUUCAAAUCGUGCACGAGAAGUUCGAUUUCGAUAACUUCGACUUCUUGUCUACUUUUUCUCAAGUCGGACGCGAGUGCUUCGACGAUGCGCGUGUUGUUUUCCUCGUACAUCCGUAGGAGCUGUUUCAGUUGCUUCAUGCGAAAGUUGACGUCUUUGGUGGCGCCGGUCUGAAAGGCAGCUCGAGCCGACUCCACCAUUUGGAGGGCCGAUUUUGGAUUUUGGUAGGCCAUUGAGUGACUAAAAAAAUCAAUUUACUUAUGCAGGUACUCACUUUCCAGAUUUAAUUAACGAAACCCAUUUCAAUUUCUAAUUAAGAGGUAAAGUCCAAGUGCAAGUGAAUAUGAAAUUAUUGGUAAACAAGUUCUUUGAGGUUAACAAGUUUUCCACCAGUGUCGUACCUGAAGGGCGGUGGAUGAAUCACAACCAGAUUUGAUAAAUUAAGCGAUUUUCGAACAAUUCUCUUGCGUAUGUAGUAGAAAAGUGGCACAGCAAUUACCUACGUUGUAAUCAAAUGCGGUUUGAUUUGAACGAAUUGAACCAUAUCCUCAAUUACCUAUUUGUGAUAAUUUAA